RNAcentral lists this ribosomal RNA (1450 nucleotides) under uncultured Bordetella sp. Its description in RNAcentral is "partial 16S-23S ribosomal RNA intergenic spacer". It matches the Rfam family "Bacterial small subunit ribosomal RNA". The record is from RNAcentral. Lineage: Bacteria; Pseudomonadati; Pseudomonadota; Betaproteobacteria; Burkholderiales; Alcaligenaceae.
GUUCGAUCAUGGCUCAGAUUGAACGCUGGCGGAUCUUGCGGCCAAGUCAGGCAGCGGCACGGACUUCGGUCUGGUGGCGAGUGGCGAACGGGUGAGUAAUGUAUCGGAACGUGCCUAGUAGCGGGGGAUAACUACGCGGCGUAGCUAAUACCGCAUACGCCCUUCGGGGGAAAGCGGGGACCUUCGGGCCUCACACUAUUAGAGCGGCCGAUAUCGGAUUAGCUAGUUGGUGGGGUAACGGCUCACCAGGCGACGAUCAGCUGGUUUGAGAGACGACCAACCACACUGGGACUGAGACAUGAACUCCUACAGGAGGCAGCAGUGGGGAAUUUUGGACAAUGGGGAAACCACAGUCCAGCCAUCCCGCGUGGCGAUGAAGGCCUUCGGGUUUUGGCAAAAAGCACUUUUGGCAGGAAAAACGGCACGGGAUAAUGCCCCGUGCAACUGACAAUUACCUGCAGAAUGACACCGGUAACUACGUGCCAGCGCGGUAAUACGUGAGGAUUUUAGCGUUCCCAAUCGGAAUUACUGGGCGUAAAGCGUGCGCGAACGGUUCGGAAAAGAAAGAUGUGAAAUCCCAGGCUUAACUUUGGAACUGCAUUUUUUAACUACCGAGCUGAGUGUCAGAGGGAGGUGGAAUUCCGCAUGUAGCAGUGAAAUGCGUAGAUAUGCGGAGGAACACCGAUGGCGAAGGCAGCCUCCUGGGAUAACACUGACGCUCAUGCACGAAAGCGUGGGGAGCAAACAGGAUUAUAAUGCCUGGUAGUCCACGCUAAGCGUCGUCCAACUAGCUGUUGGGGCCUUCGGGCCUUGGUAGCGCAGCUAACGCGUGAAGUUGACCGCCUGGGGGAGUACGGUGCCAAGAUUAAAACUCAAAGAAAUUGACGGGGACCCGCACAAGCGGUGGAUGAUGUGGAUUAAUUCGAUGCAACGCGAAAAACCUUACCUACCCUUGGUAUGUCUGGAAUCCCGAAGAGAUUUGGGAGUGCUCGCGAACGGAACACAGGUGCUGCAUGGCUGUCGUCCAGCUCGUGUCGUGAGAUGUUGGGUUGAUCCCGCAACGAGCACAACCCUUGUCGAUGGUUGCUGAAGGGCACUCUAAUGAGACUGCGGUGACAAACCGGAGGAAGGUGGGGAUGACGUCAAGUCCUCAUGGCCCUUAUGGGUAGGGCUUCACCACGUCAUACAAUGGUCGGGACAGAGGGGUCGCCAACCCGCGAGGGAGCCAAUCCCAGAAACCCGAUCGUAGUCGGAUCGCAGUCUGCAACUCGACUGCGUGAAGUCGGAAUCGCUAGUAAUCGCGGAUCAGCAUGUCGCGGUGAAUACGUUCCCAGGUCUUGUACACACCGCCCGUCACACCAUGGGAGUGGGUUUUACCAGUAGUUGGCCUAACCGUAAGGAGGGCGAUUACCACAGUGGGAUUAUGACUGGUGAAGUCGUAACUCGGUAA